RNAcentral lists this ribosomal RNA (253 nucleotides) under uncultured bacterium. Its description in RNAcentral is "partial 16S ribosomal RNA". It matches the Rfam family "Bacterial small subunit ribosomal RNA", at positions 524 to 776 of the family's 1533-position model. The record is from RNAcentral.
UACAGAGGUCUCGAGCGUUGUUCGGAUUCAUUGGGCGUAAAGGGUGCGUAGGCGGCGCUGUAAGUCAGGUGUGAAAUUUCGGAGCUUAACUCCGAAACUGCAUUUGAUACUGCGGUGCUUGAGGACUGGAGAGGAGACUGGAAUUUACGGUGUAGCAGUGAAAUGCGUAGAGAUCGUAAGGAAGACCAGUGGCGAAGGCGGGUCUCUGGACAGUUCCUGACACUGAGGCACGAAGGCCAGGGGAGCAAACGGG